CCCGACUGCUAUUUGGGUGAGGAUAAGCCAUGCGAGUCGAAUGGGAUGCCUAAAAUUCCCAUGGCAAACUGCUCAGUAACACAUGAUCAACUUACCCUAUAGAGAAAAAUAACCUCGGGAAACUGAGGAUAAUGUUUCAUAAUCGAAUCGGCUUGGAAAAGUUUUUCAAUUAAAAGAAUAAGAAAAAUGGUUCUUGUUCGCUAUAGGAUAGGAUCGUGGACGAUUAUGGUUGUUGGUGAGGUAACGGCUCACCAAGCCGAUAAUCGAUAGGGGCCGUGAGAGCGGGAGCCCCGAGAUGGGUACUGAGACAACGACCCAGGCCUUACGAGGCGCAGCAGGCGCGGAACCUCCGCAAUACACGAAAGUGUGACGGGGUUACCCAAAGUGUUCAUUUUUGAACUGUGGUAGGUGAGUAAUGUUCCCUACUAGAAAGGAGAGGGCAAGGCUGGUGCCAGCCGCCGCGGUAAAACCAGCUCUUCAAGUGGUCGGGAUAAUUAUUGGGCUUAAAGUGUCCGUAGCUGGUUUAGUAAGUUCCUGGUAAAAUCGGGUAGCUUAACUAUCCGUAUGCUAGGAAUACUGCUAUACUAGAGGGCGGGAGAGGUCUGAGGUACUACAGGGGUAGGGGUGAAAUCUUAUAAUCCUUGUAGGACCACCAGUGGCGAAGGCGUCAGACUGGAACGCGCCUGACAGUGAGGGACGAAAGCCAGGGGAGCGAACCGGAUUAGAUACCCGGGUAGUCCUGGCCGUAAACGAUGCAUACUAGGUGAUGGUACGGCCAUGAGCCGUAUCAGUGCCGUAGGGAAACCGUUAAGUGUGCCGCCUGGGAAGUACGGUCGCAAGGCUAAAAC
Molecule: ribosomal RNA, 848 nt
Filed under: uncultured archaeon
Lineage: Archaea
Description: bacterial SSU rRNA
Rfam family: Archaeal small subunit ribosomal RNA
Source: RNAcentral